GCUCAGCAGUCUCAUUGAAGCGAGCGGCGGCGGCCGCGCCGUGGUAAACAAGUGCCGGGCUGUCAAUCAAGAACUAGACCGGAGCAGGAGAGGACCGGCCUAAACCGGCGCGAGCAGAUCCCAGCCGGCCUGCCCGCGCGCCGCCGCCGCCGCCGCUGCCGCCCGCGCGCCCCGCUAUACAUACGGCAUACGUCGCGCGGCGCUCGCGCCCGUGCCCGCGCAACCUAGCCUGCUGGCCGGGGGGCGGGGCGAGCGAGCCGCGGCGCUUCCGCUUUACACGCCCCAGCCGGCGACCGGUUCCAUCUGGCUCGGGCCACUCUGACACCUUUAGUUUCGGCAAGGGAUAUUGGGGUGGCGAAGGGGAGGCGGGGGCCCGAAGGCUUCGGAAAACGAUGGGGGAGGGGGCAGAGGAUACCCGUCGAAGCCCCCCCCUCCCCCAACAUUUCGAUAUUGGAAUCACUUUCCUUCUUCCUCGGGCCAGCCUUUGCUCUGUCCCCUCAGGUCAACUCAAGGUAGACAGUGUGGCGACUGGAGAGGUCGGGGAACAAGCUUUGUUUCAGCUAAGGGGAAAACAAGCGUUCACAGGAGUCCCCUGACACCUCCCACUCGGAAGAUAGCUAACGGGGGUCCUGCCAACCCUUCCCAUCCAACUUCCAUCUGAAAAGGAUUUUCUGCUAAAGUUGGGUCCAUGGCCAUCCAGCACCUGUAAGGCCGGCAGGAGCGUCUGCCCUCUACUCAGUUAAAGCCUGAAGUCGUUUCCUUUCGAUGGCCCUUAGGAGGCCCAAAAGAGGGGCGACAGAACAUGAUGUUGACACGGGCUGGGCGCCCCCAGAAGCCCGGGAACAAACGUUUCUACUUUCCAGGUCCACUGGUGUUUGGUGUACCCAUGUGACUAAUUUGUCCAAAGAGAGAUUUCUGUGAAUAGACCAGAAGCCGACCUUUACAGUGUGUUUGGGUGCAGAAAACCUUGGCUGACAUACUCAAGGCUGAAAUGCAGUCAGCGGAAAUGGAAACACUUCAACUCUGCCCCUGUGGCAAGAAUGGCUUCCCUUCAGACAAUCUGGCCAGAUUCUUUAUGGACCCAAUGGGAGGUACAUACUCGGGGCAUUGCGUUUAUGUUUUUCCUGACCUACCUGCUCCUUAGAGCU
Molecule: long non-coding RNA, 1148 nt
Filed under: Homo sapiens (human)
Lineage: Eukaryota; Metazoa; Chordata; Mammalia; Primates; Hominidae
Description: HSALNT0091341
Source: RNAcentral